UGCCACAUAAACAAACAAACAAAUGAAAUGUA
This 32-nucleotide non-coding RNA is filed under the name Mus musculus (house mouse). Lineage: Eukaryota; Metazoa; Chordata; Mammalia; Rodentia; Muridae. The record is from RNAcentral.